AACGCACAUUGCACCCGGUGGUAUUCCGCCGGGUAUGCCUGUUCGAGCGUCAUUAUAACCACUCAAGCCUGUCUUGGUGUUGGGGUUGCGAAUCUUUUGCAGCCCUCGAGUCUCGUAGCGCCACCUGUGGGUUCUAAGCGUAGUAAUUUCUCCUCGCUAUAGAACUUGCUCGGGGAAAAGUAUAAUUCGUAGCCUGGUUCUAUGUGUCCGCUAUAAAACCCCCAAUUUUUAAAGGUUGACCUCGGAUCAAGUAGGGAUACCCGCUGAACUUAA
RNAcentral lists this unclassified non-coding RNA (273 nucleotides) under uncultured fungus. Its description in RNAcentral is "partial contains 5.8S ribosomal RNA, internal transcribed spacer 2, and large subunit ribosomal RNA". Lineage: Eukaryota; Fungi. RNAcentral also lists the same sequence under 1 other name. The record is from RNAcentral.